UUUGCAAAAAAUAAAAAUAAUACGAACUCCUCUCCCCCACGUUAAUUGCAAUGCAAAGGGAGAUGUUGCAUUACGGAUCCUGCCUGGGCUGUGCUGGGCUCUAAUGAAUGCGCCGAGCCUUUGAUCUGGGGCAAAAUGCAAUAGAAAAUGGGAUAUGACAAGUGCCAUUGUCACUCGCUAACCUGUGAACACAUGGAAGACAAUGGAAGGAAUGUAUUUCAUGCUACACCAUAAAAAUGAGGACACUGGGAGGAGGAGAGGUGUCUGCAAUCAAAUGCUAUCACCUGUCAUGUAGAGGAGCACUGUGCAGGUUUCUUCCUGCCAGCUUGUCCCCUUAGAGUCUCUUGGUUUCUGCAAGGUUCUACAAAACUGAUGAGUGGUAAGUUAUUAUUAUUAUUAUUAAAGUUUUUUUUGUUUGCUUGUUGUUUCAUGGCAGUUCACACAGCCCAGUAAAGACUGGAUCCCACUGUGCUUGGCACUGUGUAAACUGUGGUACUGUGUCCUGCCACCCAAGGAAUUUGCAGUCUAAAUAGGCAGGGCCAGCAAGGUGAGACAGAG
Molecule: non-coding RNA, 558 nt
Organism: Cyanistes caeruleus (blue tit)
Lineage: Eukaryota; Metazoa; Chordata; Aves; Passeriformes; Paridae
Source: RefSeq, a predicted model, not a curated record